GCAAAGGGAAACUACUCGUCUUAGCAACGUUGAAUAGAAACGUAAUAGAUCCAAAUUUUAACAUAUUAAUGGCCAUCCGCAGUAGAUAUGUAUUUCUCGGAUGAUAAAUGUGAUGAGUGCAGUCGAACAAAGACUGCUCGAUUGUUGUCUUGGAUUGAAAGAAGAAAACUGAAGAAAAAUCUAAAGCGACAAAACAAAUGCUGUGAGUGUAAGAAGAGAAAGUCGCUAUCAAUGAUCUCUUGGAUUCAAAAGAGAAAAGAAAAGAAACGACUAAAACAUCAAUGUGG
Long non-coding RNA from Gigantopelta aegis, 287 nucleotides. RefSeq lists it as uncharacterized. NCBI's taxonomy places the organism in Eukaryota, Metazoa, Mollusca, Gastropoda, Neomphalida, Peltospiridae. The record is from RefSeq and is a predicted model, not a curated record. The transcript is spliced from 3 exons.